RNAcentral lists this long non-coding RNA (2300 nucleotides) under Brassica napus (rape). Its description in RNAcentral is "long non-coding RNA (BNAP_LNC007816)". Lineage: Eukaryota; Viridiplantae; Streptophyta; Magnoliopsida; Brassicales; Brassicaceae. The record is from RNAcentral.
UUCGAUGGAACUGGUACCAUAGAAACUUGAUCUUAGCAAUCUGAUACUUAACGUGCUUAGCAACAGACCCAAGACUACCACCACACAAGACAGAAGAAGAGCACAUGGAAAUGGCCCUCCAAAUGUAUAGACGAGAUCUUCCAGAGGUGUAUAGCAGUUUGGUAAUCUGUACUUGUCAGACACACAUUUGUAGGGACAAAAAGGUUCGCUAACUCCUCCUGUAGAUUCACAGCUUCUACUAUCAGAAGACUAAUCAGGGAAUCGAAGAUAAGAGAACAAUAAGAUAAUAUACCUCGUACGUAUACAAAUUUUGCACGGCUUGGAAGAUGCUCAGGUGGGCAGGGUGUACAAAGACGUUUGUCAGAACCUUCAACAUUCUUGAAAGUCCCAAUGGGGCAUUCCUGAAACAACACACAAAGCCAUAAAAUUUAGAAGUAUCAAGCACAAGCAAAAAAGCAGAGAUUUGCCAUGAUGGUCAAGGAACACUAUUGGGCCUGUCUAAAUUCUAAUUUAUUACACCGACUUGUAGCUGAAAAUAAGGAUAAGAAGAAUUAAAAAAAGACUUGACCAGGGCGGAACCAACUACAACAUAAUAAACCAUAAGACUUACCAAGCAAAAUGUACCAUAGAGUCCCUUCGGACACUUUUUUCCAGUCAUUGUUCCCUCUUCCCCAAGAGGAAAAUCGCCAACAAAAACCAAGAUACCAAGUUGGUAAUAUCCAGAAGCUGUAGCUUGAAACCAUCCAAGCUCAAUUCUUACUCCGUGGAAUUCGAGUUGAGGAUUCCCAUGGCUGUUUACCCACCUAAUGACAGGAAGUAACGCUGAACGAAUUGAUCCAUGCCUCACAGUCCUAAGCUGUGCGUUUAAACCGGCAACAAAGCGGUGCCAAACACUUGGUGGGAUGUGCUGAAAUAGUGAUUUGGAACUCUUAGGAGAUUCUCAGAGGAUAGAUUUUGAAAGAAAUAAUAUAGAGAGAGAAGUAAGCUAACCUGGCCAAGAAGAUUUGUUAACAGUCCGUCACUAUGAAGACUAUAGGGUGACAUAUAACUUCCAUCUCCACCAAAAAGUAUGCACAUUGGGAACCUUUUCUGUAUAAUAGAGACCAUAUCUACACGCUUCUCGUCACCGCCGAGAAAAAAAUCAACGUAUGCAACCAUCAGAUCCGGAGUGGCUCCAACCUGUGUUAACGUUGGAUACAUACAGUAAAACUGCAAAGUAAAAAAGGUAGCUAAUUGUGAAGCAACAGGUAUAUUAGAUAAUAAGAAAUCCGAACCUUCAUGCCUUUGUAUAGGGCUCUAGACCUGCAUGACCGGAGGCAAGAGUGGUCAUAUUGAGUUUUUACGUAUUCUUGAAGGCGAUGAAUUUUUCUCCUGCGACGCCAUUGUUUCCAAGACCAGGCGCAAGGAUUUGCCAGAACUGAUAAAAUGCUGUGCACAGACCCUUCCCACCAAUCAUACGCCGCAGUAGAGUUGACCUCAUCGAUAAAUCUGUUAAAAGCAUCCUCGUACCUGCGAACAAGAAGUGUACAGAACAAUGAGUGGAAGACAUGCCUUGUAAUGAAAUGAGCCAAACGUCAAAGUCACAUUGGUCAGCAAAGAGUAGGACUUAAGAAAACAGAAUAUGGAUUAAUGAUAUACACAGUCAUUACUUCGGAAAAGGUAAAGAGAAAGAGAAAACACGUAGUUGUUAUAAAUAAGUAGCACAAAAGAGACUGUCACUUAGCCAAGAGUUUUUAGCACAACCAUUUCAUUCACACACUCAAUGGCAUCCAAUCGCAACAGAAUUUGAACAUGUCACGUUAUAUCCUUACACCAUCUCGAUGAUUGCAUGGGGACGAGAACAGGGCAGAUGCCAAGGCUCCCUGAAAGUGUUUGGACCCAUGAAGUACAUACGGUAAGCGUGGGUUUGUGUAACGUCAGAUUUUGCGCCUCGGACCUAUAAUGAUAAGACACAGGCCAGAGAGUUUGGUUGACUUCGUUGUCUUAUAACAACAACAGAAGAUUUGGGGACAAGACAAUACUCGCAGCACCAUACCUCAGAGAGUGACAGAAGAUGGGGUAAACAAUGAGUACUCUGGUGUUCGAUGGAACUGGUACCAUAGAAACUUGAUCUUAGCAAUCUGAUACUUAACGUGCUUAGCAACAGACCCAAGACUACCACCACACAAGACAGAAGAAGAGCACAUGGAAAUGGCCCUCCAAAUGUAUAGACGAGAUCUUCCAGAGGUGUAUAGCAGUUUGGUAAUCUGUACUUGUCAGACACACAUUUGUAGGGACAAAAAGGUUCGCUAACUCCUCCU